Molecule: ribosomal RNA, 1229 nt
Filed under: groundwater metagenome
Description: bacterial LSU rRNA
Rfam family: Bacterial large subunit ribosomal RNA
Source: RNAcentral
AACCAGGAGGUUGGCUUAGAAGCAGCCAUCCUUUAAAGAAAGCGUAAUAGCUCACUGGUCUAGUCAAGCCAGCCUGCGCCGAAAAUGUAUCGGGGCUCAAGCCACGUGCCGAAGCUGCGGGUGUAUCCAGGGUAGCAUCCCUGGGUAUGCGGUAGCGGAGCGUUCCGUAAGCCCGUGAAGGGAAUGGGUGACCAUUCCUGGAGGUAUCGGAAGUGCGAAUGCUGACACGAGUAGCGAAAAGGAGUGUGAGAAACACUCCCGCCGUAAGUCCAAGGGUUCCUCGGCAAGGCUAAUCCGCCGAGGGUGAGCCGGCCCCUAAGGUGAGGGCGAAAGCCGUAGCCGAUGGGAACGGGGUUAAUAUUCCCCGGCCUGCCAGUGGUGACGAAUGGUGUAUGUCGUUGGGGCUUAUCGGAUUGCCCCGGCGGCGAAGCCGUUCCAGGAAAUAACCCUGGCGUAUAGACCGUACCCCAAACCGACACAGGUGGACUGGUAGAGUAUACCAAGGCGUUUGAGAGAACGGUGUUGAAGGAACUCGGCAAAUUGCUCGCGUAACUUCGGGAUAAGCGAGGCCUGCCCGCGCGCAAGCGCGGACGGGUGGCACAGAGCAGGGGGUAGCGACUGUUUACUAAAAACACAGGGCUCUGCGAACGCGUCUAGCGGACGUAUAGGGUCUGACGCCUGCCCGGUGCCGGAAGGUUAAGAGGAGAGGUGCAAGCCUUGAANNUUCCUUGUCGGGUAAGUUCCGACCUGCACGAAUGGCGUAACGACUUCCCCACUGUCUCCAACACCGGCUCAGCGAAACUGAAUUCUCCGUGAAGAUGCGGAGUACCCGCGGUUAGACGGAAAGACCCCGUGCACCUUUACUAUAGCUUUGCAGUGGCAUUAGGGAGCGGAUGUGUAGGAUAGGCGGGAGCCUAGGAAGCAUUGGCGCUAGCCAGUGUGGAGGCAACCUUGAAAUACCGCCCUUUUGCUCUCUGAUCUCUAACUGUGAUCCGUGAUCCGGAUCCGGGACCCUGCAUGGUGGGUAGUUUGACUGGGGCGGUCGCCUCCCAAAGAGUAACGGAGNNNNNNNNNNNNGCCUGACUGCGAGACUGACAAGUCGAGCAGAGACGAAAGUCGGUCAUAGUGAUCCGGUGGUUCCACGUGGAAGGGCCAUCGCUCAACGAAUAAAAGGUACGCCGGGGAUAACAGGCUGAUGACGCCCAAGAGUCCAUAUCGACGGCGUCGUU